RNAcentral lists this transfer RNA (75 nucleotides) under Anaerolineaceae bacterium. Its description in RNAcentral is "tRNA-Pro". It matches the Rfam family "tRNA". Rfam says of the family: Transfer RNA (tRNA) molecules are approximately 80 nucleotides in length. Their secondary structure includes four short double-helical elements and three loops (D, anti-codon, and T loops). RNAcentral also lists the same sequence under 2 other names. Lineage: Bacteria; Bacillati; Chloroflexota; Anaerolineae; Anaerolineales; Anaerolineaceae. The record is from RNAcentral.
CGGGGCGUAGCGCAGUCCGGCUAGCGUGCUUGCAUGGGGUGCAAGAGGUCCCGGGUUCGAAUCCCGGCGCCCCGA